AGUGAACGUUGGCGGUAGGCCUAACACAUGCGAGUCGAACGGCAGCACAGUAAGAGCUUGCUCUUACGGGUGGCGAGUGGCGGACGAGUGAGGAAUACAUCGGAAUCUACUUUUUCGUGGGGGAUAACGUAGGGAAACUUACGCUAAUACCGCAUACGACCUACGGGUGAAAGCAGGGGAUCUUCGGACCUUGCGCGAUUGAAUGAGCCGAUGUCGGAUUAGCUAGUUGGCGGGGUAAAGGCCCACCAAGGCGACGAUCCGUAGCUGGUCUGAGAGGAUGAUCAGCCACACUGGAACUGAGACACGGUCCAGACUCCUACGGGAGGCAGCAGUGGGGAAUAUUGGACAAUGGGCGAAAGCCUGAUCCAGCCAUACCGCGUGGGUGAAGAAGGCCUUCGGGUUGUAAAGCCCUUUUGUUGGGAAAGAAAAGCAGCAGGUUAAUACCCCGCUGUUCUGACGGUACCCAAAGAAUAAGCACCGGCUAACUUCGUG
RNAcentral lists this ribosomal RNA (492 nucleotides) under uncultured bacterium. RNAcentral's name for it is "partial 16S ribosomal RNA". It matches the Rfam family "Bacterial small subunit ribosomal RNA", at positions 29 to 507 of the family's 1533-position model. The record is from RNAcentral.